This 443-nucleotide ribosomal RNA is filed under the name uncultured bacterium. RNAcentral's name for it is "bacterial SSU rRNA". It matches the Rfam family "Bacterial small subunit ribosomal RNA", at positions 28 to 486 of the family's 1533-position model. The record is from RNAcentral.
GAUGAACGCUGGCGGCGUGCUUAACACAUGCAAGUCGAACGUGAGGGUGCAGCGAUGUGCCUGGAAGUGGCGAACGGGUGAGUAACACGUAGAUGACCUGCCCUGGAGUGGGGGAUAACCAUUGGAAACGGUGGCUAAUACCGCAUACAUCCGGAGAACUGGGAAGUUUUCUGGGGAAAGCUCUGGUGCUUCAGGAGGGGUCUGCGUCCGAUUAGCUAGUUGGUGGGUAAAGGCUCACCAAGGCGACGAUCGGUAGCUGGUCUGAGAGGACGAUCAGCCACACGGGAACUGAGACACGGUCCCGACUCCUACGGGGGGCAGCAGUGAGGAAUAUUGGGCAAUGGGCGGAAGCCUGACCCAGCAACGCCGCGUGGAGGAAGACGGCCCUUCGGGUUGGUAAACUACCCUUUUGUACGGGGAAGAGAGAGGACGGUACCGUCGAA